GAUGAACGCUGGCGGCGUGCCUAAUACAUGCAAGUCGAGCGAACAGACGAGGAGCUUGCUCCUCUGACGUUAGCGGCGGACGGGUGAGUAGCACGUGGAUAACCUACCUAUAAGACUGGGAUAACUUCGGGAAACCGGAGCUAAUACCGGAUAAUAUAUUGAACCGCAUGGUUCAAUAGUGAAAGACGGUUUUGCUGUCACUUAUAGAUGGAUCCGCGCCGCAUUAGCUAGUUGGUAAGGUAACGGCUUACCAAGGCAACGAUGCGUAGCCGACCUGAGAGGGGAGACGGCCCACCGGGAAAUAGACACGCGUCCAGCCCCCAGAGGGGGGAGGGAGGAGGGAUAUCUUCAGAAUGGGGGAAAGCCGGGAGGGGCCACCGCGGGGGAGGAGUGAAGGGUGUUGGGAUGUAAAACUUUUUUUAUGGGGGAGAAAAAAUUUUGAAAGUACUUAUGCAGUUCUGGAGGGCACCUAACAAGAAGCCCACGCAAAGCUAGGGC
RNAcentral lists this ribosomal RNA (498 nucleotides) under uncultured bacterium. RNAcentral describes it as "partial 16S ribosomal RNA". It matches the Rfam family "Bacterial small subunit ribosomal RNA", at positions 28 to 508 of the family's 1533-position model. The record is from RNAcentral.